UGUAUUCUGCUGUGCUCGAAGUGCAACGAACGCCUUAAUCCUUUAGUUCCUUUAUUCGGGAGCUUGACCCGCUCAGAUGGCUGUCAGGCCGUAAAUCGGAAGGCAAAAGUCUGAGAGGAAAGCACCCACCUUAUUUUCAAAGGUUUGGGGCAACUGAAGCAUACGACACAAUAGUGGAUACGC
Molecule: non-coding RNA, 183 nt
Filed under: bacterium
Lineage: Bacteria
Also listed under: 1 other name
Description: 6S RNA
Rfam family: 6S / SsrS RNA
About the family: E. coli 6S RNA was the first non coding RNA to be sequenced, but its function was unknown until recently.
Source: RNAcentral